This 331-nucleotide unclassified non-coding RNA is filed under the name soil metagenome. Its description in RNAcentral is "partial contains 5.8S ribosomal RNA, internal transcribed spacer 2, and large subunit ribosomal RNA". The stretch from base 1 to 120 matches the Rfam family "5.8S ribosomal RNA", at positions 35 to 154 of the family's 154-position model. The record is from RNAcentral.
GAUGAAGAACGUAGCGAAAUGCGAUAAGUAAUGUGAAUUGCAGAAUUCAGUGAAUCAUCGAAUCUUUGAACGCACAUUGCGCCCCUUGGUAUUCCGGGGGGCAUGCCUGUUCGAGCGUCAUGAUAACCCUCAAGCUCAGCUUGGUGUUGGGGCCUGCCUAUUAGCAGCCCUUAAAAUCAGUGGCGGUGCCAUCUGGCUCUAAGCGUAGUAAUUCUUCUCGCUAUGGAGUCCCGGUGGGUGCUUGCCAUCAACCUUAAAAAAACUUUUCUAUGGUUGACCUCGGAUCAGGUAGGGAUACCCGCUGAACUUAAGCAUAUCAAUAAGCGGAGGA